Molecule: ribosomal RNA, 492 nt
Filed under: uncultured bacterium
Lineage: Bacteria
Description: partial 16S ribosomal RNA
Rfam family: Bacterial small subunit ribosomal RNA
Source: RNAcentral
AGUGAACGCUGGCGGUAGGCCUAACACAUGCAAGUCGAACGGCAGCACAGUAAGAGCUUGCUCUUACGGGUGGCGAGUGGCGGACGGGUGAGGAAUACAUCGGAAUCUACUUUUUCGUGGGGGAUAACGUAGGGAAACCUACGCUAAUACCGCAUACGACCUACGGGUGAAAGCAGGGGAUCUUCGGACCUUGCGCGAUUGAAUGAGCCGAUGUCGGAUUAGCUAGUUGGCGGGGUAAAGGCCCACCAAGGCGACGAUCCGUAGCUGGUCUGAGAGGAUGAUCAGCCACACUGGAACUGAGACACGGUCCAGACUCCUACGGGAGGCAGCAGUGGGGAAUAUUGGACAAUGGGCGCAAGCCUGAUCCAGCCAUACCGCGUGGGUGAAGAAGGCCUUCGGGUUGUAAAGCCCUUUUGUUGGGAAAGAAAAGCAGCAGGUUAAUACGCCGCUGUUCUGACGGUACCCAAAGAAUAAGCACCGGCUAACUUCGUG